Long non-coding RNA from Procambarus clarkii (red swamp crayfish), 1504 nucleotides. RefSeq lists it as uncharacterized. The record is from RefSeq and is a predicted model, not a curated record. Lineage: Eukaryota; Metazoa; Arthropoda; Malacostraca; Decapoda; Cambaridae.
UGGUGUAUAAAGCAAUUAACUGCUCCGUUGGAUAUUUCAGAAAGGUUGUGUUGCAGCGAUCCCGAGUUACGUGACCUGGACCAGCCCGGGAGGUCACCACCUCUGAGACGUGAACCCAUCCCUGUGAUCUGGACCAGCUCAUGGUCACUAUCUGCCGAGGAGUGAGAAGUCACUUUUCUAACCAUCUUUGCUGAGGUGCUCAACACAGACCCGCUUCAGUGGCUGGGAGGGCAGUAGGCCGCCUGCAUGACCUCAACUGUUUGGGCAACACAGUGACCUUAUAUGUGAUACACGUCUAGUAUGUGUAGGAACCACAGUCACACUGACCCCGUCCAACAUAAUUGCCUUGCAUGAUACAAGAACACUGAAGUAGGCCUACUGGCUCAUGAGAGGCAGGGACACUGGAGCAGGCCUACCAGCCUCGAGGGAGACAAAUACUGCAAUAGGCGUACUGACCCAUCAGAGGCAAAUCUACUUGAUUUGUCUAUCCUAUUCCUUCCCCCAGGUGACAAAAUGCAGGUAUGACCCAAGGCUCUGGAACCUGUACUCACCAGACGAUAAAGGCCGAGAGGCGGGACCCAAUAGCCGUGACUCAUCCUCCCGCAAAUACAACUAGAGAUCCAUAUUGGAAUAAGAUUCACACGACCUGCAAAACCGCUUCCCUCGGCAAUUUACGCAGGAAAUCGCUACACUGCUAUCUGAUGGAGUAGUUAUUACGGCGUCAUGUGACAGCGAGUGUGUUUGACUAGGGAAGGAAAGCCCUACGUCUGCCUCACGACACAUGAUGUGCCUCACACGCCACGCUCGCCUUUACAAGCCUCAACACACCAUUUCUUCAGUUCCUUUAUAAUAUAUAUUUAUAUACAUAUGCAUGUGUACUCACCUAAUUGUGCUUGUGCUUGUGAGUGUGUGUGUGUAAAGCGGUCGACAUGCAUGCAUAUAUAUGUUUGAAUAUAUUAAAAUGUUGAGGUUAGCACUUAUCAAACGAACACACUCAUAGGAAACUAUAAAAUGACCUGAAUAAACUGCAAGUAUGUCCAACAAAUGACUCUUAGAGUUUACCUCAAACAAGUGCAAAGUGAUAAAAAUAGGAACAAAUCCACAAGGGCCGUGACGAGGGUUCGAACCUACGUCCGAGGGCAUCCCAGACGCUGUGAUAAAAAUAGGCACUGGGAACAGACAGACACAAAGUACGGAACUAGAUAUGCAAUCCUCCCAGAACCAGGACAAAGGACCCAAGAGUUAAUAUUAUACAGAUCCUGUCUCUCGAUCCAAAAUAAGAUGGGCAUCAGCAGCAGCAGCGUAUGCUAGGUUGGCCUACAUAAGAAAUAACUUUAAGAAAUGUGGAAUAAAAGUUCUUUCAAGACCUUGCCUAACACAUACAUCAGACCAAUCCUGGAAUUUGCGGCACCAGCAUGAAGUCCUUACCGUGUUAAACACAAAACGAAGUUUAAGAUAGCCCAGAGGCAUGCCACCAGAAUAGUCCCAGAAUUGAGACGUACGA